This 2852-nucleotide long non-coding RNA is filed under the name Capsicum annuum. RNAcentral describes it as "long non-coding RNA (CANN_LNC000737)". Lineage: Eukaryota; Viridiplantae; Streptophyta; Magnoliopsida; Solanales; Solanaceae. The record is from RNAcentral.
CCCAGUGUUUUGAAAAGUGAGGCGAAAAAAAGCGAUGAGGGAUCGCUGCACAGAAGUGAGAAGCGUGAAGCGAAGCGCACGCUUUUUUCCAUUAAAGCGCUAUUUAGUACAAAAUUUAAAAAUAUUAAACGUGCAUAAAUAAAUAACCAAGAGUUCAAUAAAUAACAUAAUCAUUCAAUACUCAAAUUAAAAAGAGAAUAGAUAGUCAUAACAAGCAUUCAAGCAAACUACUAAAAUACUAAAAAUUAGUCUUGCAUCUUAAUCAACCAACACAAAUAGAGGAGAAGAAAAAAAACAAAGAAAAAAACAAAGUUGGAAGUCAGAAUACCUACAGCAAAAAUAAAAAAUAAAACAGAACUGGAAAACAGAAAGAAGAAGAAGAGAAAAAUACAGAGACGAAAAAGAGUAAUAGAGGAGAAGAAAAAAAACUAGAAAACCCUAAUAGGAGAAGAAGAAGAAGAGAAAUAGAGAAGAAGAAGAGGAGAAACAGAGAAGAAGAAGUAGCAUACCUUCAGCAGUUGUUCCAGAAAAAUCGCAGCAGCAGCAAUGCAGUCGUAUAGUCACUUAAGGGUUUUAACUAAAAUAAAUUAAAUAAAACAAUAAAACCCUACAAAAAAAAAACUUAAAUAUCCACUUAAGCGAGUUUUUCUGCGCUUUUUUUGCUUCAGCGCUUCUCGCUUCUGGACAUAAAGCGAGAGCUUUUUUCUUGCCCCAACGCUUUAAGUGUAAAAAGCGAACCACUGUCGCUUCGCUUCACGCUUUAAGCGAGCGCUUCAACGCUUUUCACAACACUGAGACUACCAAAUGAAGUACAUAAUGAAUACACUGAUGCAAUCUAUCUUUGAACAUAACAUAGAGACCAAUCUAGUACAUAAGAGGGAGAAUAGUAAUACUCCGAACGCCAGGAGCUCACUCUACGUCUCCGAACCAUAGCUGCUCCACACGACGCAGACAACAACAGUGAGAACCCGUACUAUGAUCUGCAUGCUGCAGAAGUGUAGCAUGAGUACCAAACACGUGGUACUCAGUAGGCAACUGUCGACUUACCUCCAACGAUAAUACAAAUAUACGUAACAUGUAAGCAAGAAUGUAAACAACGCUCAAAUAUCCAGGAAACUAACAUAGUAAAGCUAAGGAGGCAAUAAGGAUAAACUAUCCUAUUCUAGUCAUACUCAGGAACCUAAGCACUGUAUUGUAUAUCACUGACCAAUAUAUAUACGAAUAAGAACAGAAGAAGGAUAUAUAUAUAUAUACAAUGCAAAGGAAUGGAUAUACAACAUGAAUAAAUGAAAUAAGAAAGGGAUACAAAGUAAUACUAUAACUACUAUAGAUAGAUACAUAUACAUGAACAAGGCUAACUCAAAGGUACAACCUAAGUAGUCACACUAGCAUCUCAAAGCGUCCUAAUCAUAGUAGGAACUAGUUCUAAUAUAAUUUGGGUUUAAAACCACAAUGCCUAAUCAUGGCAUGAUCAUAUAAAAUAGAAUAACCGUAAAAUAAAGAAAUAGGAAUCCAAGUCCAAUAAUCAACAUGUCACGAGCUAAUCAUAAUAAAAAUAACAAUAUAAAGUAACCGACAAGCCGGGAAAAACAUACCUAAAUCGGGCUCAAGAACUCGAAAGGUCCAAUCAACAUACAACACACUACAAGAAACACUCAUCACCGAUACCUAUGCAACACCCCAUAUAGCUAAUAGAUAUAGGAGUAUACUGGUGAUAUGCAAUGCACAUAGCAAGAAUGUAAACAACGCCCAAAUAUCCAGGAAACUAACAUAGUAAAGCUAAGGAGGCAAUAAGGAUAAACUAUCCUAUUCUAGUCAUACUCAGGAACCUAAGCACUGUAUUGUAUAUCACUGACCAAUUUAUAUACGAAUAAGAACAGAAGAAGGAUAUAUAUAUAUAUUAGUAAACAAGGUCAAGGAAUGGACAUACAACAUGAAUAAAUGAAAGAAUGAAGGGAUAUACGGUAGUGCCAUAACUACAUAGAGAUAGAUACAUAUACAUAAACAAGAUCACUCGAAGGUACAAUCUAAAGUAGUCAUUCUAGCAUCUCAAGGCCUCCUAAUCAUAGUAGAAAUUAGUGCUAACAUAAUCAUCUGACCAUACGUCUAACUAUGAGAUAAUUAUCCAUAAUAAAAUGCAUGUAAGAGAAAAGAAUCAGAAUUAGAAUCAUACCUCGAAUCUCAGUACCAGCCCAAUAUUCAGCCUGUUACGAACUAGCCAUAAUAGCAAUAACAAUAUAAAGUAACAGGCUAGCCCAGACAAACAAUACCUAAACCAUGCCCCGUAACUCGGAAGGUUCAAUCAGCACACACAACAUACCACAAGCAAUACUCAUCACCUAUACCUAUGCAACCCCUCAUAAGGUUGAUAGAUAUAGGCGCAUACUGGUGAUAGGCCAUGCGCAUGCAAGGAUGAAUGCUAGUGAAUCCAUAUGCCAUAACCGAUCCAAGUACCAUAAAGUAACCCAAUGUAUACACCCCCUCUAUCUUGACGGCUCGCGAAGGUAGGACCUACAACGACCUCUCUUUUUUGCCACGAUGGCUCACGGACAAAGAGGCUUCUAGGGGGUUCGGGAGUACCCGUAUACACCGACCUAGUCCUAAUCCAGGAUUUUCAGUAACCAUCAUCAUCAUAUAUACAUAUUACAAAAGUGUAGAAAGGGUCAGAAUCUCUCUCGAUCGAGGUAAAUAGUAGUAGUAAGACUGUGGACUGGAGUCUAUCUCGGUCAUUUCUCUAAAACAUCAUUUUUAGUCUCAAAGGCUCAUAAGUUAUUCAUUAAGAUGGUAUGAUUCCCAUUAUGUACAAAUCCGUUUUAAAAGUGAAAAGUGGGAAUAAAUCCUUUUUAAGAAAA